GUGGGGAAUCUUCCGCAAUGGACGAAAGUCUGACGGAGCAACGCCGCGUGAGUGAAGAAGGUUUUCGGAUCGUAAAGCUCUUUCGUUAGGGACGAACGUGCUCUUUGUGAAUAAUGAGGAGUAAUGACGGUACCUAAAUAAGAAGCCACGGCUAACUACGUGCCAGCAGCCGCGGUAAUACGUAGGUGGCAAGCGUUGUCCGGAAUUAUUGGGCGUAAAGCGCGCGCAGGUGGGAUAUCAAGUCUGUCUUAAAAGUGCGAGGCUCAACCUCGUGAGGGGACAGAAACUGGUAUUCUUGAGUGUCGGAGAGGAAAGUGGAAUUCCAAGUGUAGCGGUGAAAUGCGUAGAGAUUUGGAAGAACACCAGUGGCGAAGGCGACUUUCUGGACGAUGUCUGACGCUGAGGCGCGAAAGCUAGGGGAGCGAACGGGAUUAGAAACCCUAGUAGUCC
This 450-nucleotide ribosomal RNA is filed under the name uncultured bacterium. RNAcentral's name for it is "partial 16S ribosomal RNA". It matches the Rfam family "Bacterial small subunit ribosomal RNA", at positions 354 to 796 of the family's 1533-position model. The record is from RNAcentral.